GAUGAACGCUGGCGGCGUGCCUAAUACAUGCAAGUCGAGCGAACAGACGAGGAGCUUGCUCCUCUGACGUUAGCGGCGGACGGGUGAGUAACACGUGGAUAACCUACCUAUAAGACUGGGAUAACUUCGGGAAACCGGAGCUAAUACCGGAUAAUAUAUUGAACCGCAUGGUUCAAUAGUGAAAGACGGUUUUGCUGUCACUUAUAGAUGGAUCCGCGCCGCAUUAGCUAUUUGGUAAGGUAACGGCUUACCAAGGCAACGAUGCGUAGCCGACCUGAGAGGGUGAUCGGCCACACUGGAACUGAGACACGGUCCAGACUCCUACGGGAGGCAGCAGUAGGGAAUCUUCCGCAAUGGGCGAAAGCUUGACGGAGCAACGCCGCGUGAGUGAUGAAGGUCUUCGGAUCGUAAAACUCUGUUAUUAGGGAAGAACAAAUGUGUAAGUAACUAUGCACGUCUUGACGGUACCUAAUCAGAAAGCCACGGCUAACUACGUG
This 497-nucleotide ribosomal RNA is filed under the name uncultured bacterium. RNAcentral's name for it is "partial 16S ribosomal RNA". It matches the Rfam family "Bacterial small subunit ribosomal RNA", at positions 28 to 507 of the family's 1533-position model. The record is from RNAcentral.